CCUACGGGAGGCAGCAGUCGGGAAUUUUGGGCAAUGGGGGAAACCCUGACCCAGCAACGCCGCGUGAAGGAUGAAGUAUUUCGGUAUGUAAACUUCGAAAGAAUGGGAAGAAUAAAUGACGGUACCAUUUAUAAGCUCCGGCUAACUACGUGCCAGCAGCCGCGGUAAUACGUAGGGAGCAAGCGUUGUUCGGAUUUACUGGGCGUAAAGGGCGCGUAGGCGGCGCGGUAAGUCACUUGUGAAAUCUCUGAGCUUAACUCAGAACGGCCAAGUGAUACUGCAGUGCUAGAGUGCAGAAAGGGCAAUCGGAAUUCUUGGUGUAGCGGUGAAAUGCGUAGAUAUCAAGAGGAACACCUGAGGCGAAGGCGGGUUGCUAGGCUGACACUGACGCUGAGGCGCGAAAGCCAGGGGAGCAAACGGGAUUAGAUACCCCGGUAGUCCUGGCCCUAAACGAUGAAUACUUGGUGUCUGGAGUUCUAAUACUCCGGGUGCCGUCGCUAACGUUUUUAGUAUUCCGCCUGGGGAGUACGCUCGCAAGAGUGAAACUCAAAGGAAUUGACGG
RNAcentral lists this ribosomal RNA (562 nucleotides) under uncultured bacterium. RNAcentral's name for it is "bacterial SSU rRNA". It matches the Rfam family "Bacterial small subunit ribosomal RNA", at positions 338 to 916 of the family's 1533-position model. The record is from RNAcentral.